This 67-nucleotide microRNA precursor is filed under the name Bombyx mori (domestic silkworm). RNAcentral describes it as "mir-2774 microRNA precursor family". It matches the Rfam family "mir-2774 microRNA precursor family". The record is from Rfam by way of RNAcentral. Lineage: Eukaryota; Metazoa; Arthropoda; Insecta; Lepidoptera; Bombycidae.
ACAACAUACGGAGCGUCGGUCUACCGAGCAAUAUCACCCCCUCGGUGGAAGUUCUUCCCUUUGUCGU